GGAGGGGUGCCGGAGUGGUCGAACGGGGCGGUCUCGAAAACCGUUGUGCCCUAUGGGUACCGUGGGUUCAAAUCCCACCCCCUCCGCCA
RNAcentral lists this transfer RNA (89 nucleotides) under Rhodospirillaceae bacterium. Its description in RNAcentral is "tRNA-Ser". It matches the Rfam family "tRNA". From Rfam's summary of the family: Transfer RNA (tRNA) molecules are approximately 80 nucleotides in length. Their secondary structure includes four short double-helical elements and three loops (D, anti-codon, and T loops). Lineage: Bacteria; Pseudomonadati; Pseudomonadota; Alphaproteobacteria; Rhodospirillales; Rhodospirillaceae. The record is from RNAcentral.